Molecule: long non-coding RNA, 927 nt
Organism: Cyprinus carpio (common carp)
Lineage: Eukaryota; Metazoa; Chordata; Actinopteri; Cypriniformes; Cyprinidae
Source: Ensembl
AUGGAUGGCUCUGAACAGAAAUGUCAGAAUGUGACAGAAUCAACAUACACCGUCAAACAGUUGGAACAUUUUACCUGCUAUAAAUUCAGGGUCUGGGCCCUGAUCGCAGAAAAACACGCUUGCUCUCCAGCGAGCCCUUGGUACCAAACAAAACCAACUGGACGAAGGUUGAAUCAACAGUUGCUCAACAGUCUUUUUACAUCAUGUUUCAAAAUCAGUUGUUUGAAGCUGUUUAACGUUUUUCCCUUCCAAAACGUGCCCUCCAGCCCAUCCAUUAAGAGUAUUGAGAGUGUGGAGGUUCGCUGGUCUCUACCUGAAAAACCAGGAGGACCCAUCUUGGGCUUCAACCUCAAUCUCACAUCCAACAAACACGUCAUCAGUGUAGCAACUGGAGGAAAUGUAUUCUUCAACACAUUCUACCCGACAUUCCACUACAUAUAGGUAGUAUACAUACACAGUCUUCCAGUUUUUAUAUUUCUGCAAUUUUAUGCAACAUCAAAUGCAUUAUUUAAUGUAUUCAGUGUAUACAUUGUUCAUUUUUACACUGUACUAAUCUGACGUUAUUAUUUUUUGUUGACAUAUAACAUUGAUUGUACUGACUGCAUCUCAUACAGGAUCUCUGUUGCUGCUGUUAAUGAAGAGGGCCAGGGUUCAACUGCUGAAGCCAGCAUAACAGCACCAGCACAAGUUGGUUAGUUUAAGCUCACAGUGAAACUUUUACUCUAUCCUACAAAAAUGACCCUAAUUUGCUAAGUAGAACAUGUUCCUGGAUCUUUUGUUGGUCCUAGAACAACACUGUGAACCUAAUUGUGUUCUAAAAUAUUUUAGUGUUAUUUUAGUUUUUACAGAUUUGUGUAUUAUAGUCAAUUCUAUAUAUAUAUUUUUAUAAUUUGUAUAAUAAUAAUAAAACAUUAUAAUGAAGUAUCA